Molecule: ribosomal RNA, 641 nt
Filed under: Salmonella enterica subsp. enterica serovar Typhimurium
Lineage: Bacteria; Pseudomonadati; Pseudomonadota; Gammaproteobacteria; Enterobacterales; Enterobacteriaceae
Description: partial 23S ribosomal RNA
Rfam family: Bacterial large subunit ribosomal RNA
Source: RNAcentral
UGCUGGAGGUAUCAGAAGUGCGAAUGCUGACAUAAGUAACGAUAAAGCGGGUGAAAAGCCCGCUCGCCGGAAGACCAAGGGUUCCUGUCCAACGUUAAUCGGGGCAGGGUGAGUCGACCCCUAAGGCGAGGCCGAAAGGCGUAGUCGAUGGGAAACGGGUUAAUAUUCCCGUACUUGGUGUUACUGCGAAGGGGGGACGGAGAAGGCUAUGUUGGCCGGGCGACGGUUGUCCCGGUUUAAGCGUGUAGGUGUGUGUUCCAGGUAAAUCCGGUUCACUUUAACACUGAGGCGUGACGACGAGGCACUACGGUGCUGAAGCAACAAAUGCCCUGCUUCCAGGAAAAGCCUCUAAGCAUCAGGUAACAUCAAAUCGUACCCCAAACCGACACAGGUGGUCAGGUAGAGAAUACCAAGGCGCUUGAGAGAACUCGGGUGAAGGAACUAGGCAAAAUGGUGCCGUAACUUCGGGAGAAGGCACGCUGACACGUAGGUGAAGUGAUUUACUCAUGGAGCUGAAGUCAGUCGAAGAUACCAGCUGGCUGCAACUGUUUAUUAAAAACACAGCACUGUGCAAACACGAAAGUGGACGUAUACGGUGUGACGCCUGCCCGGUGCCGGAAGGUUAAUUGAUGGGGUCAGCG